GAUGAACGCUGGCGGCGUGCCUAAUACAUGCCAGUCGAGCGAACGGACGAGAAGCUUGCUUCUCUGAUGUUAGCGGCGGACGGGUGAGUAACACGUGGAUAACCUACCUAUAAGACUGGGAUAACUUCGGGAAACCGGAGCUAAUACCGGAUGAUAUUUUGAACCGCAUGGUUCAAAAGUGAAAGACGGUCUUGCUGUCACUUAUAGAUGGAUCCGCGCUGCAUUAGCUAGUUGGUAAGGUAACGGCUUACCAAGGCAACGAUGCAUAGCCGACCUGAGAGGGUGAUCGGCCACACUGGAACUGAGACACGGUCCAGACUCCCACGGGAGGCAGCAGUAGGGAAUCUUCCGCAAUGGGCGAAAGCCUGACGGAGCAACGCCGCGUGAGUGAUGAAGGUCUUCGGAUCGUAAAACUCUGUUAUUAGGGAAGAACAUAUGUGUAAGUAACUGUGCACAUCUUGACGGUACCUAAUCAGAAAGCCACGGCUAACUACGUG
This 497-nucleotide ribosomal RNA is filed under the name uncultured bacterium. RNAcentral describes it as "partial 16S ribosomal RNA". It matches the Rfam family "Bacterial small subunit ribosomal RNA", at positions 28 to 507 of the family's 1533-position model. The record is from RNAcentral.